CGGGCGUCCACCACGGUCUCUGCGCUGGGAUCAGCCGGGCUCCCGGUGGAAGCGAGGGAACCCAGCCAUAGCAGCCAUGGCCACUACAAUGGUAGCAGUUGGACUGGCCAUUGCAGCUGCAGGAUUUGCAGGCCGUUAUGUUUUGCAAGGCAUGAAGCAUAUGGAGCCUCAAGUAAAACAAGUUUUUCAAAGUCUACCAAAAUCUGCCUUCAGUGGUGGCUAUUACAGAGGUGGGUUUGAACCCAAAAUGACAAAACGGGAAGCAGCAUUAAUACUAGGUGUAAGCCCUACUGCCAAUAAAGGGAAAAUAAGAGAUGCUCAUCAACGAAUUAUGCUUUUAAAUCAUCCUGACAAAGGAGGAUCUCCUUAUAUAGCAGCCAAAAUCAAUGCAGCUAAAGAUCUACUAGAAGGUCAAGCUAAAAAAUGAAGUAAAUGUAUCAUGAAUUUUAAGUACAUAUUACUUUAUGUAUAUGAGUACUAGCUUUUUAUAAUAAAAUGCCUCAGAGUUACAGCUUUAAAAAAUGAUUUAGCACAAGCUAAAUCUCAAAGCCUUGGUAUAAUUUUUGUUUAAACAUGGGGAUUUUAAAUUAGACUAUACUUUAGAAUAUUUGCAUAUUAAUUAUGGGCAAACACCAUUUGAAGAUUAAUAUUGUUCAUUCCUCAUUUAGCAGAUGAUUUGGGACCUAUGUCUACUCUUCAAGGCAAAGUGAAGAUGACAGUCCUUGCUCUCAGGGAGCCCUCACUUUAAUGGGAGACUGAUAAACUGGUCAUUGGACUGUGUGAUAAAUAGUAUGAUAGAAAUUCACUCAAGCUGUUCAAGUAAGGAGUCUUAUGAGGUUAAAAAAAAAAAAAAAAAAAAGGCUGUUCCAGGUACAGGCAACUGGCCCAGCAACUUGGAUACUUAGAACCUUGUAUUUAAAAGUGGAUUUAGCCACAACUUAGACCUGAGAAAUUGACCUAGGGGUUUGGGUGGGUGUGUAUGUAUUCUAUUUACAUACAUAUAUUAAUAAACAGUAUUUCAUACAUUAAAAAUAGUAUGAUAAAGAUUUCAGAGUACGGGUCUGGCACAAUCAGCUCACUGCAGCCUCAACCUUCUGGGCUCAAGCAAUCCUCCCACCUCAGCCUCCCAAAGUGCUUGGAUUACAGGCAUGAGAAGUAUUUACUUUGUAUUCAGCUAGCCCCUUAAAGUUACUGACCAUUUAUAAAUUAUUCCUUCAGUUGGCUAUUUCUUGACAAUCAAACUUCUAUAAUUGUUAUGAUUAAGCUUAAACACUGUUAGCAAAACUGAAAUGUUCUCAAUAUCAAAAUAUUCAAUUUGGACUAUUAAUUUACACACUAAUAAAUGUAAAUGAUGUUUA
Molecule: RNA transcript, 1358 nt
Organism: Sapajus apella (tufted capuchin)
Lineage: Eukaryota; Metazoa; Chordata; Mammalia; Primates; Cebidae
Gene name: mitochondrial import inner membrane translocase subunit TIM14 pseudogene
Exons: 1
Source: RefSeq, a predicted model, not a curated record